UACGUAGGUGGCAAGCGUUAUCCGGAAUUAUUGGGCGUAAAGAGCGCGCAGGUGGCUAAGAAAGUCUGAUGUGAAAGCCCACGGCUUAACCGUGGAGGGACGUUGGAAACUGCUUGGCUUGAGUGCAGAAGAGGGAAGUGGAAUUCCAUGUGUAGCGGUGAAAUGCGUAGAGAUAUGGAGGAACACCAGUGGCGAAGGCGGCUUCCUGGUCUGUAACUGACACUGAGGCGCGAAAGCGUGGGGAGCAAACAGG
This 253-nucleotide ribosomal RNA is filed under the name uncultured bacterium. Its description in RNAcentral is "partial 16S ribosomal RNA". It matches the Rfam family "Bacterial small subunit ribosomal RNA", at positions 524 to 776 of the family's 1533-position model. The record is from RNAcentral.